Molecule: long non-coding RNA, 1479 nt
Organism: Salvelinus sp. IW2-2015
Lineage: Eukaryota; Metazoa; Chordata; Actinopteri; Salmoniformes; Salmonidae
Source: RefSeq, a predicted model, not a curated record
GUGAAGCUAGAGGUGAAGGAGUGAGAGGAAGAUGAGGACGAGGAAGGACAGUUGUCUCAGAUUAGAUCAGGGCCACGUUGGUUGACCAUGUGCUCCACCAUGGAUUGAGUAUAAGGGAGGCUGGGCAGAGAGCAUCUAUCAUCCAUACAUUCAGAAAUGAGAACCGAACUGAGAGACGGCCAGGCCAUGCUGGAAGACACCGGAACAGGAGACCGCAUGGUGGCAAACAAUACCAAUAGACUACGAGAAAUCCAGAACCACAUAAUUGCAGACAACACAAUAUUCAAUAACAUUCACCAGAGUCUUUGAGCUGGAUGCCGCUGCAAUUCCGCACGUUUAUAUUUACAUUGAGGCUGGCUUCAACCUAGCCAAAAGAAGGGGACAGAACAUUAUUGGCCACCGUGCCAUUGUGAAUGUCCCUGGACAGCGUGGAGGGAAUAUCACCAUGUGCGCAGCCGUUAGUCAGCAUUCUCCAUCACCAUGCCAACCUUGGUCCCUACAACACCGCCCUUCUCAUCACAUUCCUUGACGCACUACAUGGCAUCCUCAUUCCAGCCAAGCAGAGGGGUGGACCAAAGCAGCCCAGGUAUGUUGUCAUCUGGGACACCGUGAGUUUCCACCGGGCUGCUCUGGUCCACAACUGGUUCAUCGACCACCCACAAUUUAUUGUUCUAUAAAUGACUUAAAAGUAAAUGUACCUCCCACCAUAUUCCCCAUUAAACCCAAUUGAAGUUUUUUUCGGCAUGGCGAUGGAAGGUGUAUGACCGCCAUCCCCUCGCACGCAUGCCUCUUCUCCAGGCACCGGAAGAUGCGUGUGGUGAAGUUGAUGUGGUGGCUUUCGGCGGCUGGAUCCGUCACUCUAGAAGAUUCUUAUCCCACUGUUUAGCCAGGGAGAACAGUGCUUGUGAUGUAGAUGAGGUCCUGUGGCCAGACCAAAAUAGAAGGCAGGAUGCAGCCUAAUGUCUUUUUUCUUACAUUUUGUAUGUGUUUUUGUCUUUUAGAGUUUUGAACGAAUGAGCCACUUUAAUUUUUUUUUGAUUUUGUACAGAAAACCCAUUAUCUUACUGAAUGUUUUCUCCUGUUGGGUAUGGAAAGUGUUACAUACAAAACACAAGUGUUAAAAAAUACUGCAUUUUGGAAAUAAAUGACAAUGUCUUUGUUACUGUAUUGAAUCUGUGUAUUUGAGUAGGUAUACAUUACAGUAACAAUUUAACAACCGGCUACAGUGUAACACUGAAAAUGCAAAAGGAAUAAACUUACUGAUGGGAUAUUCAUAGUGUUUUGUGUUGCUGGUUGGUAGACAGAUCCACUCAUAUGACGCAUGUUUUUUGCAUCAAAAUGACAGACAGUUUUGAAUGCAGUGUUUGCUUUCGCUAGAGGUUUUGGGAAAAUGGCCCAAAGAAUCAGCAAACGUAUGUAAACAAUUGUGGAAAACUGUAUUAUACAUUACAUUUGUAAACGGACAGUUUGAGGCAUACA